Molecule: ribosomal RNA, 921 nt
Filed under: Rhodotorula mucilaginosa
Lineage: Eukaryota; Fungi; Basidiomycota; Microbotryomycetes; Sporidiobolales; Sporidiobolaceae
Description: LSU rRNA
Rfam family: Eukaryotic large subunit ribosomal RNA
Source: RNAcentral
UAGCAUAUCAAUAAGCGGAGGAAAAGAAACUAACAAGGAUUCCCCUAGUAGCGGCGAGCGAAGCGGGAAGAGCUCAAAUUUAUAAUCUGGCACCUUCGGUGUCCGAGUUGUAAUCUCUAGAAAUGUUUUCCGCGUUGGACCGCACACAAGUCUGUUGGAAUACAGCGGCAUAGUGGUGAGACCCCCGUAUAUGGUGCGGACGCCCAGCGCUUUGUGAUACAUUUUCGAAGAGUCGAGUUGUUUGGGAAUGCAGCUCAAAUUGGGUGGUAAAUUCCAUCUAAAGCUAAAUAUUGGCGAGAGACCGAUAGCGAACAAGUACCGUGAGGGAAAGAUGAAAAGCACUUUGGAAAGAGAGUUAACAGUACGUGAAAUUGUUGGAAGGGAAACGCUUGAAGUCAGACUUGCUUGCCGAGCAAUCGGUUUGCAGGCCAGCAUCAGUUUUCCGGGAUGGAUAAUGGUAGAGAGAAGGUAGCAGUUUCGGCUGUGUUAUAGCUCUCUGCUGGAUACAUCUUGGGGGACUGAGGAACGCAGUGUGCCUUUGGCGGGGGUUUCGACCUCUUCACACUUAGGAUGCUGGUGGAAUGGCUUUAAACGACCCGUCUUGAAACACGGACCAAGGAGUCUAACAUGCUUGCGAGUAUUUGGGUGUCAAACCCGGAUGCGUAAUGAAAGUGAAUGGAGGUGGGAACCGCAAGGUGCACCAUCGACCGAUCUGGAUUUUUAAUGAUGGAUUUGAGUAAGAGCACGUAUGUUGGGACCCGAAAGAUGGUGAACUAUGCCUGAAUAGGGCGAAGCCAGAGGAAACUCUGGUGGAGGCUCGUAGCGGUUCUGACGUGCAAAUCGAUCGUCAAAUUUGGGUAUAGGGGCGAAAGACUAAUCGAACCAUCUAGUAGCUGGUUCCUGCCGAAGUUCCCCUCAGGA